GAUGAACGCUAGCUACAGGCUUAACACAUGCAAGUCGAGGGGUAACGAGAGGGAAGCUUGCUUUCCUUGUCGACGACCGGCGCACGGGUGAGUAACGCGUAUCCAACCUGCCCCCAACUAAGGAAUAACCUUGCGAAAGUAAGACUAAUAGCCUAUAAUUUCCUCAGAUGACAUCUGACGAGGAAUAAAGAUUUAUCGGUUGUGGAUGGGGAUGCGUCCGAUUAGCUUGUUGGCGGGGUAACGGCCCACCAAGGCAACGAUCAGUAGGGGUUCUGAGAGGAAGGUCCCCCACAUUGGAACUGAGACACGGUCCAAACUCCUACGGGAGGCAGCAGUGAGGAAUAUUGGUCAAUGGGCGGAAGCCUGAACCAGCCAAGUAGCGUGCAGGAUGACGGCCCUAUGGGUUGCAAACUGCUUUUAUACAGGAAUAAAGUUAGCCACGUGUGGUUAUUUGUAGGUACUGUAUGAAUAAGGACCGGCUAAUUCCGUGCCAGCCGCCGCAGUAA
This 506-nucleotide ribosomal RNA is filed under the name uncultured bacterium. Its description in RNAcentral is "partial 16S ribosomal RNA". It matches the Rfam family "Bacterial small subunit ribosomal RNA", at positions 28 to 523 of the family's 1533-position model. The record is from RNAcentral.